UAACCUGCCUUCAAGAGGGGGAUAACAUUCUGAAAAGAAUGCUAAUACCGCAUGACAUAUCGGAACCACAUGGUUCUGAUAUCAAAGAUUUUAUCGCUUGAAGAUGGACUCGCGUCCGAUUAGUUAGUUGGUGAGGUAACGGCUCACCAAGACCGCGAUCGGUAGCCGGACUGAGAGGUUGAACGGCCACAUUGGGACUGAGACACGGCCCAGACUCCUACGGGAGGCAGCAGUGGGGGAUAUUGCGCAAUGGGGGCAACCCUGACGCAGCAACGCCGCGUGGAGGAUGAAGGUUUUCGGAUUGUAAACUUCUUUUAUUAAGGACGAAACUUGACGGUACUUAAUGAAUAAGCUCCGGCUAACUACGUGCCAGCAGCCGCGGUAAUACGUAGGGAGCAAGCGUUGUCCGGAUUUACUGGGUGUAAAGGGUGCGUAGGCGGCUUUGCAAGUCAGAUGUGAAAUCUAUGGGCUCAACCCAUAAACUGCAUUUGAAACUGUAGAGCUUGAGUGAAGUAGAGGCAGGCGGAAUUCCCCGUGUAGCGGUGAAAUGCGUAGAGAUGGGGAGGAACACCAGUGGCGAAGGCGGCCUGCUGGGCUUUAACUGACGCUGAGGCACGAAAGCGUGGGUAGCAAACAGGAUUAGAUACCCUGGUAGUCCACGCUGUAAACGAUGAUUACUAGGUGUGGGGGGUCUGACCCCUUCCGUGCCGGA
Molecule: ribosomal RNA, 712 nt
Filed under: uncultured bacterium
Lineage: Bacteria
Description: bacterial SSU rRNA
Rfam family: Bacterial small subunit ribosomal RNA
Source: RNAcentral